CCUACGGGGGGCAGCAGUGAGGAAUAUUGGUCAAUGGGCGCGAGCCUGAACCAGCCAAGUAGCGUGAAGGAUGACUGCCCUACGGGUUGUAAACUUCUUUUAUAAAGGAAUAAAGUGAGGCACGUGUGCCUUUUUGUGUGUACUUUAUGAAUAAGGAUCGGCUAACUCCGUGCCAUCAGCCGCGGUAAUACGGAGGAUCCGAGCGUUAUCCGGAUUUAUUGGGUUUAAAGGGAGCGUAGAUGGGUUGUUAAGUCAGUUGUGAAAGUUUGCGGCUCAACCGUAAAAUUGCAAUUGAUACUGGCAGUCUUGAGUACAGUUGAGGUAGGCGGAAUUCGUGGUGUAGCGGUGAAAUGCUUAGAUAUCACGAAGAACUCCGAUUGCGAAGGCAGCUUACUAAACUGCCACUGACAUUGAUGCUCGAAAGUGUGGGUAUCAAACAGGAUUAGAUACCCUUGUAGUC
This 460-nucleotide ribosomal RNA is filed under the name uncultured bacterium. Its description in RNAcentral is "partial 16S ribosomal RNA". It matches the Rfam family "Bacterial small subunit ribosomal RNA", at positions 338 to 795 of the family's 1533-position model. The record is from RNAcentral.